This 253-nucleotide ribosomal RNA is filed under the name uncultured bacterium. RNAcentral describes it as "partial 16S ribosomal RNA". It matches the Rfam family "Bacterial small subunit ribosomal RNA", at positions 524 to 776 of the family's 1533-position model. The record is from RNAcentral.
UACGUAGGGGGCAAGCGUUGUCCGGAUUUAUUGGGCGUAAAGAGCGUGUAGGCGGCUGGGUAGGUCCGUUGUGAAAACUCGAGGCUCAACCUCGAGACGCCGAUGGAAACCCUCCAGCUAGAGUCCGGAAGAGGAGAGUGGAAUUCCUGGUGUAGCGGUGAAAUGCGCAGAUAUCAGGAAGAACACCGGUGGCGAAGGCGGGUCUCUGGGCCGUAACUGACGCUGAGGAGCGAAAGCGUGGGGAGCGAACAGG